GUGCUCGCUUUGGCAACACAUAUACUAAAAUUGGAACGAUACAAAAGAUUAGCAUGGCCCCUGCUAAUCUUGAUGACACGCAAAUUUGUGAAGUGUUCCAUAUUUAA
This is a small nuclear RNA of Suncus etruscus (white-toothed pygmy shrew), 107 nucleotides long. Lineage: Eukaryota; Metazoa; Chordata; Mammalia; Eulipotyphla; Soricidae. The record is from RefSeq and is a predicted model, not a curated record.